Long non-coding RNA from Peromyscus californicus insignis, 617 nucleotides. RefSeq lists it as uncharacterized. NCBI's taxonomy places the organism in Eukaryota, Metazoa, Chordata, Mammalia, Rodentia, Cricetidae. The record is from RefSeq and is a predicted model, not a curated record. The transcript has 2 exons.
CACAAAGGCACAGGCUUGUCUUGUUUUCACAGCGUUUUCUUCCUCAUUUACCACCCCCUGGACCUCUAUACUGUGCCUUCACGGGGAAGGGAACCCAAGGCUUGGUGAGGAAGAACAGCUGCCAGAGGCCACCGGGUCUAAUCCAACUCCAGCCAGAGCCGUAGGGGUCCACUUACGCCCCAGACUGAACAUGGAAGGAGCCCACUUCCGUGCCGUCCCAGCCCAUGGCCUGCAGAGAGGGAUAGUCAUCGCUCAGCUCGCCUUUCCUGCCGAGGAAGUUCUCCUGCUCGAAGAUGGUCAGCCUCGAGUCACGGUGGUUCUACAGACAACAGAGAGCUGGGUCAGACCGCCAGGUGCCGGAUGGGACACACAGGAGCCACUGCCCCUUGCUCAGCCUUUGUCUCCCAAGUCAGCCUUCUAUCCAGAGCUCUGAGAAGGGCAGCAGGCGACGGGAAGCUUUACAAGAUGCUUCAGCAUCUGUCUUCCACAAGGACAGAACAAAAACUACAAGGAUAUCCACCAUAACUGUGAAAAAUAAAGGAACUGAGCUAAAUGUCCCAUAGCAGGAGACCAGGCACGAAGACAGGGUGUUGUGCUAUAAAAACCAUGUGAAUAUC